UACAGAGGUCUCAACCGUUGUUCGGAUUCAUUGGGCGUAAAGGGUGCGUAGGCGGUCGUGCAAGUCGGAUGUGAAAUCUCAGGGCUCAACCCUGAAACUGCAUUUGAUACUGCGCGGCUAGAGUGCUGGAGGGGAGACUGGAAUUUACGGUGUAGCAGUGAAAUGCGUAGAUAUCGUAAGGAAGACCAGUGGCGAAGGCGAGUCUCUGGACAGCAACUGACGCUGAGGCACGAAGGCCAGGGGAGCAAACGGG
This 253-nucleotide ribosomal RNA is filed under the name uncultured bacterium. Its description in RNAcentral is "partial 16S ribosomal RNA". It matches the Rfam family "Bacterial small subunit ribosomal RNA", at positions 524 to 776 of the family's 1533-position model. The record is from RNAcentral.